Molecule: transfer RNA, 71 nt
Filed under: Guibemantis tornieri
Lineage: Eukaryota; Metazoa; Chordata; Amphibia; Anura; Mantellidae
Description: tRNA-Trp
Rfam family: tRNA
About the family: Transfer RNA (tRNA) molecules are approximately 80 nucleotides in length. Their secondary structure includes four short double-helical elements and three loops (D, anti-codon, and T loops).
Source: RNAcentral
AGAAAUUUAGGUUAAUGUAAAACCAAAGGCCUUCAAAGCCUUUAAUAGAAGUUAAAAUCCUCUAAUUUCUG